GGAGGUUUAGCUCAGCGGCAUAAGCACCUGCCUUGGAAGCAGGCAGUUGUGAGUUCGAUCCCCGAAACCAAUA
Cavia porcellus (domestic guinea pig) is the source of this 73-nucleotide transfer RNA. It matches the Rfam family "tRNA". From Rfam's summary of the family: Transfer RNA (tRNA) molecules are approximately 80 nucleotides in length. The record is from Rfam. Lineage: Eukaryota; Metazoa; Chordata; Mammalia; Rodentia; Caviidae.